Molecule: long non-coding RNA, 741 nt
Filed under: Carica papaya (papaya)
Lineage: Eukaryota; Viridiplantae; Streptophyta; Magnoliopsida; Brassicales; Caricaceae
Description: long non-coding RNA (CPAP_LNC000126)
Source: RNAcentral
GAGAAGGAUUACCCAUAGGUGGAAAUGGAGCAACAGUUACAGUUAGGAGCAAUUCUGGGUCGUUUGUCAGCAUGACCUUGAUUGAUAUGCUUCCUCUUCUAUUGGUGUUGUGCUCUAACAUUAUGGAUGUGCCAAUAAUGGGCAGUAAGGUGUUAGGCCUCAUCAUGGCUACUCAAUUGAUGAUAUCAGCCCUUAAACCCUUAAGAAACUUCGAGGCCUUUCUAUUUUUUGUAAUGAUGGAUUCUGAGGCAAAUCGGAACAACUAAAUGAAUUUGGCAGCAUAUUUGCUCACCGUCAUUCUUCUCUAUCCCAAGUCCUAGAAUUUUUUUCCUUCUUCUCACAAAUAUAUACCAAGAAAAAACUCUUCAGGAAAGCAUCGAUCAACUGGUCUCAAGUUAUCAAAGUAGGUAGGGUGAUGUGAUCUGAGACAACCCAAAAUUAGUUCCAAACAUGUAAUUCCGCAUCAAGGAGGAACUUAAUAGAAGCCUAGAUUCCUACAGAAUAAUUACCCAUGAAUCCACUGUAAAAUAUAGUCUUGCGCCUGUAGCACCACAAAUGUGCACACGCAAGUGCAGACGAGAUCAAAUCAAACAGGAAAGUAAGUCCCAGUUUCAUAAAUAGGAAUGCCCUGAAUAGGAAAGUAAAAUUAUCCCUAAAUACUUUCUUUAUUAGAAUUAUUCUAAGGAAUGGGCUAAGUUUUUUCAAGUAAGAAGGCUUAAGGCCCAAUAGGUGACCCAUGGA